RNAcentral lists this ribosomal RNA (406 nucleotides) under uncultured bacterium. Its description in RNAcentral is "partial 16S ribosomal RNA". It matches the Rfam family "Bacterial small subunit ribosomal RNA", at positions 30 to 526 of the family's 1533-position model. The record is from RNAcentral.
AUUGAACGCUGGCGGCAGGCCUAACACAUGCAAGUCGAACGAGUGGCGGACGGGUGAGUAAUGUCUGGGAAACUGCCUGAUGGAGGGGGAUAACUACUGGAAACGGUCGCUAAUACCGCAUACCAUCAGCUGUGCCCAGAUGGGAUUAGCUUGUUGGUGGGGUAACGGCUCACCAAGGCGACGAUCCCUAGCUGGUCUGAGAGGAUGACCGUCGACACUGCAAAUGAGGCACGGUCUGGACUCUUACGUGAGGAAGCAGUGGGGAAUAUUGCACAAUGGGCGCAAGCCGGAUGCAGCCAUGCCGAGUGUGUGGAGAAGGCCUUCGGGUUGUAAAGGACGUUAAGCGGGGAGGCGUUACCCGCAGAAGAAGCACCGGCAAACUCCGUGCCAGCAGCCGCGGUAAUUC